Molecule: non-coding RNA, 93 nt
Organism: Helianthus annuus (common sunflower)
Lineage: Eukaryota; Viridiplantae; Streptophyta; Magnoliopsida; Asterales; Asteraceae
Source: Rfam
CGCUGGAUGCAGCGGUUCAUCGAUCUGUUCCUUAAUCCCAAUGAUUGAGAGCGGUCGGGAACAAGAAUGGGUCGAUAAACCUCUGCAUCCAGC